Non-coding RNA from Paramuricea clavata, 278 nucleotides. NCBI's taxonomy places the organism in Eukaryota, Metazoa, Cnidaria, Anthozoa, Malacalcyonacea, Plexauridae. The record is from the annotation of a GenBank genome assembly.
CGCGUAAUUUCCUAAGAUGGUUGAUAUGCUCCUUUUAAAAUUUUCGACACGUUGUGGCAAAGGUCUCCCAAUAUGAAAGUUUUUCAGCGGAGACUACGAACCAUUCAGGGAGGAAUUUCGAUACCUUUAUGAUUGUAUUUAAGUUCAUCUUUGAAUGACAGCCAAGGUCUGCCUAUGCUUAAUUUUCCAUAAGUCAUCUGACUGAAAUUGAGAAUUUUGCGGAUACUAUCGUGGCUCAUUCUAAUGACAUGACCAACCCGUCUGAGCUGUAACUAGAU